UACGUAGGGGGCAAGCGUUAUCCGGAUUUACUGGGUGUAAAGGGAGCGUAGGCCGGCUUUUAAGUCAGCUGUGAAAGUCCGCGGCUCAACCGUGGAAUUGCAGUUGAAACUGGAGGCCUUGAGUGCACACAGGGGUGCCGGAAUUCAUGGUGUAGCGGUGAAAUGCUUAGAUAUCAUGAAGAACUCCGAUUGCGAAGGCAGCUCACUGGACUGCAACUGACGCUGAGGCACGAAAGCGUGGGUAUCGAACAGG
Molecule: ribosomal RNA, 253 nt
Filed under: uncultured Prevotella sp.
Lineage: Bacteria; Pseudomonadati; Bacteroidota; Bacteroidia; Bacteroidales; Prevotellaceae
Description: partial 16S ribosomal RNA
Rfam family: Bacterial small subunit ribosomal RNA
Source: RNAcentral